Molecule: unclassified non-coding RNA, 117 nt
Organism: Callithrix jacchus (white-tufted-ear marmoset)
Lineage: Eukaryota; Metazoa; Chordata; Mammalia; Primates; Cebidae
Rfam family: Metazoan signal recognition particle RNA
About the family: The signal recognition particle (SRP) is a universally conserved ribonucleoprotein.
Source: Ensembl
GCCGGGCGCCAUGGCUCACGCCUGUAAUCCCAGCACUUUUGGAGGCUGAGGCGGGUGGAUCACCUGAGGUCAGGAGUUCGAGACCAGCCUGGCCAACAUGGUGAAACCCCGUCUCUA